GAGUUUGAUCCUGGCUCAGGACGAACGCUGGCGGCGUGCCUAAUACAUGCAAGUAGAACGCUGAGGACUUUAGCUUGCUAAAGUUGGAAGAGUUGCGAACGGGUGAGUAACGCGUAGGUAACCUGCCUACUAGCGGGGGAUAACUAUUGGAAACGAUAGCUAAUACCGCAUAACAGCAUUUAACCCAUGUUAGAUGCUUGAAAGGAGCAAUUGCUUCACUAGUAGAUGGACCUGCGUUGUAUUAGCUAGUUGGUGAGGUAACGGCUCACCAAGGCGACGAUACAUAGCCGACCUGAGAGGGUGAUCGGCCACACUGGGACUGAGACACGGCCCAGACUCCUACGGGAGGCAGCAGUAGGGAAUCUUCGGCAAUGGGGGCAACCCUGACCGAGCAACGCCGCGUGAGUGAAGAAGGUUUUCGGAUCGUAAAGCUCUGUUGUAAGAGAAGAACGUGUGUGAGAGUGGAAAGUUCACACAGUGACGGUAACUUACCAGAAAGGGACGGCUAACUACGUGCCAGCAGCCGCGGUAAUACGUAGGUCCCGAGCGUUGUCCGGAUUUAUUGGGCGUAAAGCGAGCGCAGGCGGGUUUAAUAAGUCUGAAGUUAAAGGCAGUGGCUUAACCAUUGUUCGCUUUGGAAACUGUUAGACUUGAGUGCAGAAGGGGAGAGUGGAAUUCCAUGUGUAGCGGUGAAAUGCGUAGAUAUAUGGAGGAACACCGGUGGGCGAAAGCGGCUCUCUGGUCGGUAACUGACGCUGAGGCUCGAAAGCGUGG
This 774-nucleotide ribosomal RNA is filed under the name uncultured bacterium. RNAcentral's name for it is "bacterial SSU rRNA". It matches the Rfam family "Bacterial small subunit ribosomal RNA", at positions 9 to 764 of the family's 1533-position model. The record is from RNAcentral.